Salvelinus namaycush (lake trout) is the source of this 1154-nucleotide long non-coding RNA. RefSeq lists it as uncharacterized. The transcript has 4 exons. NCBI's taxonomy places the organism in Eukaryota, Metazoa, Chordata, Actinopteri, Salmoniformes, Salmonidae. The record is from RefSeq and is a predicted model, not a curated record.
UUUCUCUCUCUCCCUAUCUGUCUCGUUUGCAUGGAAACAGCACCAUACUGUAUCCUGUAAAGCUGGAAAAAUACUGAAUAAUGUGAAGGUUUGAAGGCUCCUGAAUCGUUGGACAGUCCUGAUCUAUAGGGACAGACACAACAAGCAGAGGAGGAGUCUUUGUCUCUGUGUCCCGCCAGUAGGCUGUCAGAGCCUGUCCCCCCAGCACUCCUACCCCCCGCUCCCCCAGCCCCCUCCCUUGUUUGGGCCACUGUGUUCAGAGAGGGCAGAUGGCUCAUUACCAUAAAUAGGACAGCUAGAGACAGAAAGAGUGUGAGGGAGAGGGGCCACCACCCCCACACCAUCCAAGGGGACCAUGAUGCCUGCCCUGCCGCCCAAAACCCCAGGAAAUAGGAGGCCGUUGCUAGGAGACUCACGUUUCAAGGCCCCUGGAUCCCAGUACAGAUAAGAUAGAGGACCAGACGGGGGCAAUUUUCCCUGUCUGUGGAAUGCCAUUCAAGACAACCUAACACUGGAGACGCAAUAUCACAUCUGCUCAGGCUAGACCUCAUAGGUCAAUAGGGCAAAGAUAAAGAGGAAGAGAAGAGCAGAAGAACACAAGGAAGGAGAGAAAGAGGAAUAGAGAACUCAUGAAGAAUUAAUAUAGCAGGGACAAUGUGAAAAAAAUUAUUGACUUAAAAAAUGAUUUUCCUUCACUUUCAUAAACUUUCAUCACAAAAAAACAGAAUAUGUACCUGCAGCUAUUAUGUAUGAACAUGUAAUAAGGCUUGUCUUUUGUUUGAGAUGUAAAUAGAGAGCUGUUUGAUGAGUAAAGAAAGGAGAGAUGGCACAAGAAAAAAACAAGAGGGAGGGACAUGAGUGGACAGUUGACCGACCAGAAGGAAAAAGAGAAAGAAAGGACGCGUCCCAAUAAUCUCUCCUUGUCGCUGAAGUCUGCACUCGUUCACUACUCCCCACAAAUGUUUAAGUAUUAGAUUGGUGCAGGCAUGGGCUAGAGGGAGUUCCCAUAUACCGGUCAUUUUCUUUUAAAUCCAUGAAAGGAAGUGUACAAGUGUACGCUUUGGGAGAAAGGAGAGAUAGCUUCAUUCUUGUGUCAUUUAUUCCAUUUGUGUUACUAUUUUAAUUGUUCAAAAUAAAAUUUGCUCUGCAUCGUU